UACGUAGGUGACAAGCGUUGUCCGGAUUUACUGGGCGUAAAGAGCGCGCAGGCGGUCGUUCAAGUCGAGUGUGAAAGCCCCCGGCUCAACUGGGGAGGGUCACUCGAUACUGAUCGACUCGAAGGCAGGAGAGGGAAGUGGAAUUCCCGGUGUAGUGGUGAAAUGCGUAGAUAUCGGGAGGAACACCAGUGGCGAAGGCGACUUCCUGGCCUGUUCUUGACGCUGAGGCGCGAAAAGCUAGGGGAGCAAACGGG
This 254-nucleotide ribosomal RNA is filed under the name uncultured bacterium. RNAcentral's name for it is "partial 16S ribosomal RNA". It matches the Rfam family "Bacterial small subunit ribosomal RNA", at positions 524 to 776 of the family's 1533-position model. The record is from RNAcentral.